Molecule: transfer RNA, 77 nt
Filed under: Porphyromonadaceae bacterium
Lineage: Bacteria; Pseudomonadati; Bacteroidota; Bacteroidia; Bacteroidales; Porphyromonadaceae
Description: tRNA-Met
Rfam family: tRNA
About the family: Transfer RNA (tRNA) molecules are approximately 80 nucleotides in length. Their secondary structure includes four short double-helical elements and three loops (D, anti-codon, and T loops).
Source: RNAcentral
GGCGAGAUAGCUCAGUUGGUUAGAGCGCGCGAUUCAUAAUCGCGAGGUCGGGGGAUCAUGCCCCCCUCUCGCUACAA